Molecule: ribosomal RNA, 514 nt
Filed under: Lodderomyces parapsilosis
Lineage: Eukaryota; Fungi; Ascomycota; Pichiomycetes; Serinales; Debaryomycetaceae
Description: eukaryotic LSU rRNA
Rfam family: Eukaryotic large subunit ribosomal RNA
Source: RNAcentral
AAACCAACAGGGAUUGCCUUAGUAGCGGCGAGUGAAGCGGCAAAAGCUCAAAUUUGAAAUCUGGCACUUUCAGUGUCCGAGUUGUAAUUUGAAGAAGGUAUCUUUGGGUCUGGCUCUUGUCUAUGUUUCUUGGAACAGAACGUCACAGAGGGUGAGAAUCCCGUGCGAUGAGAUGUCCCAGACCUAUGUAAAGUUCCUUCGAAGAGUCGAGUUGUUUGGGAAUGCAGCUCUAAGUGGGUGGUAAAUUCCAUCUAAAGCUAAAUAUUGGCGAGAGACCGAUAGCGAACAAGUACAGUGAUGGAAAGAUGAAAAGAACUUUGAAAAGAGAGUGAAAAAGUACGUGAAAUUGUUGAAAGGGAAGGGCUUGAGAUCAGACUUGGUAUUUUGUAUGUUACUCUCUCGGGGGUGGUCUCUACAGUUUACCGGGCCAGCAUCAGUUUGAGCGGUAGGAUAAGUGCAAAGAAAUGUGGCACUGCUUCGGUAGUGUGUUAUAGUCUUUGUCGAUACUGCCAGC